GAUGAACGCUGGCGGCGUGCCUAAUACAUGCAAGUCGAGCGAACAGAUAAGGAGCUUGCUCCUUUGGCGUUAGCGGCGGACGGGUGAGUAACACGUGGGUAACCUACCUAUAAGACUGGAAUAACUCCGGGAAACCGGGGCUAAUGCCGGAUAAUAUUUAGAACCGCAUGGUUCUAAAGUGAAAGAUGGUUUUACUAUCACUUAUAGAUGGACCCGCGCCGUAUUAGCUAGUUGGUGGGGUAAUGGCUUACCAAGGCAACGAUACGUAGCCGACCUGAGAGGGUGAUCGGCCACACUGGAACUGAGAUACGGUCCAGACUCCUACGGGAGGCAGCAGUAGGGAAUCUUCCGCAAUGGGCGAAAGCCUGACGGAGCAACGCCGCGUGAGUGAUGAAGGUCUUCGGAUCGUAAAACUCUGUUAUUAGGGAAGAACAAAUGUGUAAGUAACUGUGCACGUCUUGACGGUACCUAAUCAGAAAGCCACGGCUAACUACGUGCCAGCAGCCGCGGUAAUACGUAGGUGGCAAGCGUUAUCCGGAAUUAUUGGGCGUAAAGCGCGCGUAGGCGGUUUCUUAAGUCUGAUGUGAAAGCCCACGGCUCAACCGUGGAGGGUCAUUGGAAACUGGGAAACUUGAGUACAGAAGAGGAAAGUGGAAUUCCAUGUGUAGCGGUGAAAUGCGCAGAGAUAUGGAGGAACACCAGUGGCGAAGGCGACUUUCUGGUCUGUAACUGACGCUGAUGUGCGAAAGCGUGGGGAUCAAACAGGAUUAGAUACCCUGGUAGUCCACGCCGUAAACGAUGAGUGCUAAGUGUUAGGGGGUUUCCGCCCCUUAGUGCUGUAGCUAACGCAUUAAGCACUCCGCCUGGGGAGUACGACCGCAAGGUUGAAACUCAAAGGAAUUGACGGGGACCCGCACAAGCGGUGGAGCAUGUGGUUUAAUUCGAAGCAACGCGAAGAACCUUACCAAAUCUUGACAUCCUUUGACAACUCUAGAGAUAGAGUCUUCCCCUUCGGGGGACAAAGUGACAGGUGGUGCAUGGUUGUCGUCAGCUCGUGUCGUGAGAUGUUGGGUUAAGUCCCGCAACGAGCGCAACCCUU
RNAcentral lists this ribosomal RNA (1099 nucleotides) under uncultured bacterium. Its description in RNAcentral is "bacterial SSU rRNA". It matches the Rfam family "Bacterial small subunit ribosomal RNA", at positions 28 to 1106 of the family's 1533-position model. The record is from RNAcentral.